This 398-nucleotide ribosomal RNA is filed under the name uncultured bacterium. Its description in RNAcentral is "bacterial SSU rRNA". It matches the Rfam family "Bacterial small subunit ribosomal RNA", at positions 358 to 773 of the family's 1533-position model. The record is from RNAcentral.
GGAAUAUUGGACAAUGGGGGAAACCCUGAUCCAGCCAUGCCGCGUGGGUGAUGAAGGCCCUAGGGUUGUAAAGCCCUUUCGGCGGGGACGAUAAUGACGGUACCCGCCGCAGACGCCCCGGCUCACUUCGUGCCAGCAGCCGCGGUAAUACGAAGGGGGCUAGCGUUGCUCGGAAUCACGGGGCGUAAAGCGCACGUAGGCGGCUUUCUAAGUCAGGGGUGAAAUCCUGGAGCUCAACUCCAGAACUGCCUUUGAUACGGGAAAGCUUGAGUGCGGGAGAGGUGAGUGGAACUGCGAGUGUAGAGGUGAAAUUCGUAGAUAUUCGCAAGAACACCAGUGGCGAAGGCGGCUCACUGGCCCGAUACUGACGCUGAGGUGCGAAAGCGUGGGGAGCAAAC